Molecule: long non-coding RNA, 380 nt
Filed under: Neodiprion lecontei (redheaded pine sawfly)
Lineage: Eukaryota; Metazoa; Arthropoda; Insecta; Hymenoptera; Diprionidae
Description: uncharacterized LOC124293925
Source: RNAcentral
GUCCGCUUCCUGGUGCAACUCGAGUUCCAGGACAAGCGCUCCGUAGUUUCUAUGCUCCAGGUUCUCUACCUGGUGAAACUUGACUUCCACGACAAGCGCUGUGUAGUUUCUGCGCUCAAGGUCCGCUACCUGAUGAAACUCCACUUCCACGACAAGCGCUCCGUCGUUUUGGCUGUCCAAGUCCUUUGCCUUGAGGGUUUCGACCUCCAGGACUAGCGCUUCGUAGUUACUGCACUCGAGGUCCGCUACUUGAUGAAACUCGACUUCACGGACUAGCGGACUAACAUUUAUCACCCAUUAAACAAUCUUCAAGCAUCGAGAGCGUGAGGUAUCUGGUAAGUCUCGUAUCAUCUGGUAAAACACUGACAACGAGUAAGCGA